RNAcentral lists this unclassified non-coding RNA (218 nucleotides) under Mortierella sp. RNAcentral's name for it is "partial internal transcribed spacer region". The stretch from base 1 to 46 matches the Rfam family "Eukaryotic small subunit ribosomal RNA", at positions 1786 to 1831 of the family's 1831-position model. Lineage: Eukaryota; Fungi; Mortierellomycota; Mortierellomycetes; Mortierellales; Mortierellaceae. The record is from RNAcentral.
AAGUCGUAACAAGGUUUCCGUAGGUGAACCUGCGGAAGGAUCAUUCAUAAUAAAAGUGAAUUUUUUUAUGGCACUUUUAAAACAAUCCAUAUCCACCUUGUGUGCAAUGUUUUUUUUUUAUUAAACUCAUUUUUUUUUAAUAUGUUUUGUCUGAAAAUUUUUUUAUGAAUUUACUUAAUUCUAAAAUAUAACUUUCAACAACGGAUCUCUUGGCUCUC